RNAcentral lists this ribosomal RNA (253 nucleotides) under uncultured bacterium. RNAcentral's name for it is "partial 16S ribosomal RNA". It matches the Rfam family "Bacterial small subunit ribosomal RNA", at positions 524 to 776 of the family's 1533-position model. The record is from RNAcentral.
UACGGAGGGUGCAAACGUUGCUCGGAAUCAUUGGGCGUAAAGGGCGCGUAGGCGGCCUUCUAAGUCGAACGUGAAAUCCCCGGGCUCAACCCGGGAACUGCGUCCGAUACUGGAAGGCUUGAAUCCGGGAGAGGGAUGCGGAAUUCCCGGUGUAGCGGUGAAAUGCGCAGAUAUCGGGAGGAACACCAGUAGCGAAGGCGACACUCUGGGCCGGUACUGACGCUGAGGAGCGAAAGCGUGGGGAGCGAACAGG